Molecule: long non-coding RNA, 2139 nt
Organism: Myzus persicae (green peach aphid)
Lineage: Eukaryota; Metazoa; Arthropoda; Insecta; Hemiptera; Aphididae
Exons: 3
Source: RefSeq, a predicted model, not a curated record
UUGGCCACUUCCAUGCGCCACCGCGUGCGCAACGACCGGAAGCGGACGCACAUCUCGUCGCAGAACAGCAAGUACAGCAGCGGAAAUAUCGAACUCAUGUACCUGCGGCAGCGUGAUAACCGGAUUACCGGAUGAUGAACAAUUUGCUACACAAAUCUACUCCACCGCAGUAUCGUCUAUAGAAACGCGUCCUGUGUUAGUUUUUAUAGAGAAAUAAUAUAAUUUAUUAUAGUAUUUUGUAUUUCCAUCGCCCGUGCACUCGUUUAGUUAUUGGGUACCUACGUAGACUAUACUGUAUCAAUAUAUCAUGUAUACACUGAAGUAACCCAUACGGCUGCAAUUUACCUACUUUUGUAAAACUGAUAUAUUAUUAUAACGAAAUAAAGAAAAAUAUUUUAACAAUAAUAGGUAGUUAAGUAUAAUAUAUAGACUCGAGUUGGUAAUAAUAUUACGACUUUAUGUAACAUUAUAAUGAUAAUAAUAAGAAAACACCAUACACCCACGUCUACAUAUGUGCCUACCCAUAUUAUGGUCUCUGUUGGUCAAUUUCCUUACGUGCGAAAUAAAUAUAAACUACUUUCUUCACUGCAGUUUAUAUUAUACACGAUUACGAAUGUAUUUUCUGCAGUGCAUAUUAUUUAAAUUCAAUGUGUCCGACUUUAACACCUAAUAAGUAAUAACUGUGAUUUCAACAGUGCCGCGUGCCCAGAUAACAAUAUCAUUUUGUUUGUACGAUACGUUUAUGUGCGACUGCAGACGCAGAUCAGAGAAGAGUAAGGGCUAUAUGCCUAUAUGGUAUGGUAAAGGGCUAUUCCCCCUUUAUGUGCUAUAAUGUUAUACGAUAUUGUGUUUAAAUACUUAAUUUCUCAAUAAACUAAUAAAUUAUACAUUUAUUUUUUUUGGAAUUUGGUCGAUUGACAAUCGAAGAAUAGGAUAUUUUCGAUAUUUGCCACCCUUUAUGAUACAUAGCAGCACAUUUUAUUUCACUUGAAGGGAUUCGAAUCGGACUGGUUUUCAUGAUACGAUGUUUUAUUUUCAUUUAGAUGUUCUGAAUACUGAUUGAUCUAAUUCCAUGAUAUGGAUUUUGAAAGCGUGUUUGGAUUUCUAAUUUUGUAUUUUAUUGAGAUCUAACUUUUAAACAAAUUUAAUUAUCAAAGUAUUUGACUUUUCAAAAUGUAAACAUGUAAUUACGAUUUUUCAGAUAAAUAAAUUGAAAAUGUUGUUCGCAGGUUCUAAAAUAAAUAUAUUAAAACGUUCAAAUCCUUUUUAAAUAUCAAAAUUCAUAAAAUGUUUCAUUUUAAUACCUCGGGCUUGAAAAUGUAACACAAGAUGUCUUAACUUGAUCUAACUGGAAUAUAAAAAAGAAGUAGAAACACAAUAUCCUUGCGUCAUAAUUCAUAGUAUAUAAUAUUAUGGGUGGGAAUUUAAUGUAUUUUUACAGGUGGCAAUUGCCCGGUAUCACUAGAAAUGUACUGGUGAAAACAUUGACAGAGAUUAAUUUUUUUUUGUCAAUAUCAAUUUUGAAACUAUUUUGAAAAACUAUAAUUUUUUAUAUUUUUCGGCUGUCUAAAAAAAAAAAACCUUAACCAUCUUUUCACAUCAUUUGAAAUUUCUAGAUCUGCGUCUAGGUCUGCUCGUGAGUUCCUAAUAGAUUUAAUAUAUUAUCGGUGAUUAUGGCGAUGCCACUAUUUUAAAACGCAUACCUCAAAACCGAUUCGUAGAACACUUUGGCCGAAAUUUUGUUUACCAAAAUAUCAAUGCAGCCGCACGCGAGCAACGUAAACGUACAUCCCAGAUAGGCGAUCACGUAGUAGCGGGGCCGAGUUCUUUGUUCCGUAGGCCGACCUUAUUUCGAAUCGAACCGGUUUGUGUUCUCGAUGAUUUUCGGCAAACGCAUGUCGACGUAGAUCGACGUCAGUUGACUUAGAAAUUCCCUCAGUAUGAAAUUUAUCGUCCAAAACCACAGGGUAGCUGUCGGAUUUCUUAUGGCUUUCAACACCAACAAAUAGCAUGGCGUUAUGUAUGUUACCUUGAUCGACAAUCAUUGAAAACACGUUUUUCAGGUUUUUAAUAAGCAAGCAGACAUUUUAAGCUGUCCAGUUUUGAAUUUCAGAUCAGACAUGAUGUUUUGUUUAGUUU